RNAcentral lists this unclassified non-coding RNA (333 nucleotides) under Hevea brasiliensis (rubber tree). Lineage: Eukaryota; Viridiplantae; Streptophyta; Magnoliopsida; Malpighiales; Euphorbiaceae. The record is from RNAcentral.
GUCCUACAUAAACACAUGCUGCACUCUGUCUUCUAAGUUCUGUGUCUUCUAUGUUGAUUGUGGAACUAGUUUAUUUGACCUUAAUAUUUGAAUUAGGAAGUUUUGAGCUUUGGUUUUGCUGUAAUAUUAAAAAAAUGUAUUUAAUUUUCUUCCUUUUUCCUAAAGACAUAACUGGCUUUAGAAUAGACGAGGGAUGACAGAUAGGAGAGAUCUUCACCUACUUUGUUAAAAUGUUUUUCUUCUGUUUCUAUAAUUUGAUUUUGUCAUAUUUGUUUUCGGAGAUGAGUAAUUUAAAUAUGGUUUAUUUAUGCAGAUCAAGUUGCUGAAAAUCUU